GAACGCUGGCGGCAGGCCUAACACAUGCAAGUCGAACGGUAGCACAGGAGAGCUUGCUCUCUGGGUGACGAGUGGCGGACGGGUGAGUAAUGCAUGGGGAGCUGCCCAAUCGAGGGGGAUACCAGCUGGAAACGGCUGCUAAUACCGCAUACGCCCUGAGGGGGAAAGGUGGGGACCUUCGGGCCUACCGCGAUUGGAUGCACCCAUGUGGGAUUAGCUAGUUGGUGGGGUAAAGGCUCACCAAGCCGACGAUCUGUAGCUGGUCUGAGAGGACGACCAGCCACACUGGGACUGAGACACGGCCCAGGCUCCUACGGGAGGCAGCAGUGGGGAAUUUUGGACAAUGGGCGCAAGCCUGAUCCAGCAAUGCCGCGUGCAGGAAGAAGGCCUUCGGGUUGUAAACUGCUUUUGUACGGAACGAAACGGUCUGCCCUAAUACGGUGGGCUAAUGACGGUACCGUAAGAAUAAGCACCGGCUAACUACGUG
RNAcentral lists this ribosomal RNA (487 nucleotides) under uncultured bacterium. Its description in RNAcentral is "bacterial SSU rRNA". It matches the Rfam family "Bacterial small subunit ribosomal RNA", at positions 31 to 507 of the family's 1533-position model. The record is from RNAcentral.